CAACAGCGGUUUGAAAAUCAGCAGACCAGCUGAUCAACGCCUAACAGCUAUACAAAUCCCCACAAGUGUGACUACAGCCUCAUUUCUGAAGCAUACAGCACUAACACCAGCUCAGAGGAAGUAUCUGUACAGCAUUGCAGCUUCCUAUAGCACUGAGCAUGUGCGGCGCCUCGUCACCCAGCACUACAUGAACGUGCAGUACAGGUGUAUACGAGCAGACUACAACGACAAAAGAGGCAUACUUUAUGAGGCUUCUGUGGCCUCACCUGAGAAUGACAGAGAGGAUCAUCUAUCAAAAACACAAUCGGAAGUUUCUUCAGGGUCAAAAAACAAGAGCAAGAUCAAUGCAAAACAUUCUAGAAAACCCUCCCAAAG
This is a non-coding RNA of Neolamprologus brichardi, 375 nucleotides long. NCBI's taxonomy places the organism in Eukaryota, Metazoa, Chordata, Actinopteri, Cichliformes, Cichlidae. The record is from RefSeq and is a predicted model, not a curated record.